Molecule: transfer RNA, 62 nt
Filed under: Hemithyrsocera longiseta
Lineage: Eukaryota; Metazoa; Arthropoda; Insecta; Blattodea; Blattellidae
Description: tRNA-Glu
Rfam family: tRNA
About the family: Transfer RNA (tRNA) molecules are approximately 80 nucleotides in length. Their secondary structure includes four short double-helical elements and three loops (D, anti-codon, and T loops).
Source: RNAcentral
AUUUAUGUAGUUUAUAAAAACAUUACAUUUUCACUGUAAAGAUAAAUUAAUUUUCAUAAAUA